This 1056-nucleotide long non-coding RNA is filed under the name Chloebia gouldiae (Gouldian finch). Its description in RNAcentral is "Erythrura gouldiae (Gouldian finch) lncRNA (ENSEGOG00005004658.1)". The record is from RNAcentral. Lineage: Eukaryota; Metazoa; Chordata; Aves; Passeriformes; Passeridae.
UUAUUAUUUGCUGUUAGGUCAGCUUCUUCCAGCAGGAAUCUGGAAUCAGAGCUCCACAACCAUCUGGAAUCGAUCAGUGUCACUGUGAGAAGUUACCAGCAGCACUUGGAGCAAGCUUUAGGAAAAUUAAGGGAUUCAAACGUGGGUUUUCUCAAAAGUUGCAGAUUAUUUUCAGAGAGUGGUGACUUUGCAUCUGAGGAGGUAAAGUUUUUCAACGAGUGUCUUCAGGAAGAAAGUAAGCAAAUUGACUCCUUUGAAAGCUCAAUCAAGACAGAUGUGGAGAAAAUAAAAUCGAGCUGCUUGGAGCAGGCUACUGAACUUUUCAAGCAGUCUGGAAAAAAGUUUACUUCUCUGUCUCUGAGUCUAGCCUUUAUGGAGAAGGUUCAUCAAUAUUUGAGAAAGCUACGACAGCAAAUCAAAUCAGAGGUAGCGAAUUCCAAUUUGCAGUCAGUCACAUUAAAGUCUUACCUGGAAAAGCUCCAGCAGAAGAGAGAUGCUUAUGUUCAUUCUACUGCAGAUAAAGAAGUAACUUCUAAUCAGCAUCACAUGGCUUUAACUUCUGAAGAGUUGUAUGCUUUUGCCAAAGAGGUGUUGGAAGAGCUGAAAAAGAGGAGCAAGUAUCUUGACUGCUUUGUAGUAAAACCAAAGGUGCCACGUGCCACUGAGGCCUUCACCACUCCUGACACGAAUGGGAAGUUACAAGAUUUCAUUGUUCCUGCUGUUCCAAAAGAGAGUCUCAGAGAUGAGAGCAAAAGGAUGGUGAUGGGACUGGAUCCUGACAAAUUCCCUUUGUUAAAUCCAAGUGGAAUGGAUACAUCAAUAUUUAAUGAUUUGGCAAUAAAAGUUAUUGAAAAUUUAGCUGGAUUUGACCCAUCAAAGAAAUACCAAGACCUAAAUUGGGGGAAAAAGAAUCCAGUAAAGAAGAAAGUAUCUGAUGCAUAUUCUCAGAAGUCUACUAGCAAGAGGUCAUCUCGGGAUGAAACCAAGCGAAAAAAAAGGUGAGACCUUGAAAAGGAAGAAUUCCACUUCAAAUAUUCCUAUGCAAAAAUUUACCUA